UUCAGGACAGUGAAUCUCCAAGGUAUCUGGCAGGUGUUCUGCGGCAGAGUGGCUUGUGCAACUAGUAUGAUAACAGAAAUCUGUAAGUCCCGUGGCUGGCAUGGUCCCAGGCCUGAGAGUUAUGAAGAAAAGUAUGAACGCCGACAAGAGAAACGUGAAAACCUGCGCAAAAAGAACCGGACUGUGUGCCGUCUUGCACAUAAAUACCAUGGGAAAAAAGACAAAGAAAUAUUUCGAAGUGCCCGAGAGCAAGAGUUCCUCAGAAGAAGACACUUAGUUACUGAAACACCAAAAAGGAAGGAUAUUCAGCGGCCUCCUAGCAGAGAGGAGUCUUGGAAUAACUGCAACUUGCAGCUUCAUACCAAAUCUGUACAGCAUGACUUCAGUGAUAGUUUUGUCACUGUGAAUCUGAAUGGUUCUUCUAAAAACACAUUUGCUAUGAAAGUUUCACAAAGCUGUAAAGGUACACAGACAUCAGAUGAGUCCAGUGCAGCAAAGAAAAACUCAGGUCAACAAACAGAGUAAGGAGUCCCCUUACUAAACAUCAUUUCUU
RNAcentral lists this long non-coding RNA (553 nucleotides) under Salvator merianae (Argentine black and white tegu). RNAcentral's name for it is "lncRNA (ENSSMRG00000004467.1)". Lineage: Eukaryota; Metazoa; Chordata; Lepidosauria; Squamata; Teiidae. The record is from RNAcentral.